GGCAAGCUGAAUUUUUCGGAACUUUUUCUUGUCAGCAAAAAAGAAGAAAUAAAGAAGAAAAACAAAGCAGGGAUUUGUGCUGAUCCUGCACCACGAUCAUUGCCAAAUUUCCUGUAAAAGCUCAAGAAGAGGAAAUGAAAUAUGAAUGUGAAGUGAAAAAAACUUGUAGCACUUUAAAAAUCAUGGCAAUAAAGUUGCAGAACAUUCUCUCCAACACAGCGAGCUGGCAUUCAGAAGGAGAGACAGACCAGAAAACUAAAUGCCUCUCCCUGGGAGAGGCUACCAACACCCACCCAGUCUGGCUGAGUGUUCUCCACCGCCUUCAACACUGCCGUGAGAAGCCCAGGGCUGGAAGAGAACAUCUACGCUUUGGUAUUAUUCCCAUACUCAGCUGAAUGUUGUGUUCAGAAGGCUUAUCAGGUUAUCUUGAGGAGUACGGAUUUCUCCAGAGUGUCACUCAGGUGAUUCUGGAAAAGAUAAAAAAGUAAGGAAUUUUUAGCUGUACAAAUGGCUAAUAGGGCUUGAACCAGAAUUAUGGAUAAAGAUCAUUUGGAUGUUUGCCUAACAUUUUUUUUCCCUCAUGUAAAAUAUAGCGCUAUAAACCAGGCUAUUUUGAGACUUACAACUACAUUGAAUUGUUUUGUAACAUAACUCUCAGAAAUCCUACAUGUAGUGCUGGGAAACACCACACCCCUCCCAAAGACAGGAAAAGAAGAACCUGAAAAGUUAUGGUUUAAUCAGUCUAAUUUUAUAUUUAAAAAGUUACUAGGACAAAUUAUGAGCUGUUCAUUUAAGAGCUCACAUUUAGCCUGGCAGUACAAUUAGAAGGGUGAAGCCAAAGUGAAGAAAGAAACACUACGGAAAAUGCCGUAGGAAAAAGAAAUUGUAAGAAAAAAACAUAAAUAAUGACAAAUAAGCAAACCACUAGCCUUGCCUGGAUUGGUAGAAGGUGCUGGAAUGGAAAUUUUUAAUUCUUGUGUUCGUUUAAUAUUAUAUUACAAAGCAUCAGUAUUGAUAAAGCUUUCUUAUAUUACUGUAUUAUAAAACACUGUGAGGAGUCUUAGCAGUUUAUGUAUUAAAGAGUAUAUAAAAAUUAAUUUGAACUCCACUGUCUAUUAUUUACAUUUUAUUUGAUAUUAUAGGAUUUCUAUGCUGAACGGCUGCCUUAACUUCAUAGGUAUUUGCCCUUUUAGAGGAGGAUGAACACAGCAAAAGUAAUCAUGUAGACCUGGCACCAAGGAAAAGUGAUGGCAUUCAUAAAUGUGCCCAUUCACAGUGUGAGAAAUGGGCUGAGUUUUGCUUCAGCUAAUUGAUACGGUUUUUGCCAGAGGAGGCUCGGUGAUAGUGGAGUCUCAUCCAUUACACCCAACUAAUCCUUAGAAAUGCCCUGGGGCU
RNAcentral lists this long non-coding RNA (1395 nucleotides) under Calidris pygmaea (Spoon-billed sandpiper). RNAcentral's name for it is "lncRNA (ENSCPGG00000016683.1)". Lineage: Eukaryota; Metazoa; Chordata; Aves; Charadriiformes; Scolopacidae. The record is from RNAcentral.